Molecule: long non-coding RNA, 1196 nt
Filed under: Chrysolophus pictus (golden pheasant)
Lineage: Eukaryota; Metazoa; Chordata; Aves; Galliformes; Phasianidae
Description: lncRNA (ENSCPIG00010004622.1)
Source: RNAcentral
CCACCACCUCCCCUCCAUGUGACCAACUCCAUGCCCUCCCAGUGCCGGUGUCCAACGCCAGCAUCACGGUGCUGGGGACGGAGGUGGGAGCAGAGCUGGUGGGGACGGCGGGCGAAGAGCUGACGCUGAGCUGCAGGGUGGGGAUGGGGACGGGGCAGGUGGGCUUCGUGUGGCUGCGGGACGGGCAGGAGCUGAGCACGGGCCCCACGUGGCACCUGGGGGUGCUGGGGCCGGAGCACGCGGGCACCUAUCAGUGCGUGGCCACCAACAGCCUGGGGUCCCAGCGCGUCUUCAGGGCACGCAGCCCCGAGGUGCUCCUCGUGGUGACACAGCAGGGCUGGGGACAGCAGCGGGCACAAGUCCUGGCUAUAAGGCUGAGCGUGUUCUUCCUGGUGCUGUUGGCUGCCAAUGCUGUGCUGGGUUGGCACCUGAGACUCUGGUUUCAGCUAGCAGCAUCCAAGAGCCAGCACAGGUGUGUGCAACACCCAGCCAAGCCACCCUCCAUCCUUCGGUUCCAUCCCUUACCCCCAUGAUCCCUUUGCCCCCCCCCAGGGACCCCACGCCCCCUCCUCGCCCUUCUUCCCCUCCCACGGAGCCCUCGGAGCACGAAUACAUCAACGUCCUGCCGGGGACACCGAGUGCUGAGGACGUCCUGUACUCCACCGUCACCAUCAGAGAGCACAGAGGGGGUGUGGCCCCAUGUGGUCACUCAGCCCCCCAAGAGGCUGCUGUCACCUACACAGCACUGCCCGCUGCCUGCAGUGCCACCAACCUCCGGGGGAUGCAGCAUCCCCUAAGUGACAGUUAUGAGAACUUCCUCUGCAAAUAAAUGGCAGUCAUUCGUUGCCCCAAAUGUCUGUUUUUUUACCCUAAAUCUCCUUCCAAACUGAUGCUCACCCGCUCAGCCCCUUCUGUCCCAUUGCAAAACGGGGCCAUUCCUCUCAUUUCCCCCAAAACCACCCCAGCACAGGAGGGGAGAAGCGUGGAAGGCAUUGCUUUCACCCCUGAAGUGGCAUUUUGGGGCUAUUUGGGGUGAAAAUGGCAUUUUCCCUCCUCAGUCCCCAUGCGAAGUGAUGAGAACCUCUCCUCUGUGUGACAACGGGGGACCCAAGUGACACAAAGUGCCGGCCGUGUGCUGUGCUCCAUGUGUGGACACGCAGUGCACAAAGUGCUCCUAUAGCAAAUCCCACUUAUAC